This 116-nucleotide ribozyme is filed under the name Aedes aegypti (yellow fever mosquito). Its description in RNAcentral is "drz-agam-1 ribozyme". It matches the Rfam family "drz-agam-1 ribozyme". Lineage: Eukaryota; Metazoa; Arthropoda; Insecta; Diptera; Culicidae. The record is from Rfam by way of RNAcentral.
UGCCCAGCAACUCCUAGCCCUACCUCCUCAUGGUACUGGCCGAGGUACGAGUAACCUUAAGGAAGAUCGGAUAACCAACUCCAGUGGGAAAUUUGGUCGUAUGCUGAAAGGGAAGA